GACGAACGCUGGCGGCGCGCUUAACACAUGCAAGUCGAGCGAGAACCCUCCUUCGGGAGGGGGACAGCGGCGAACGGGUGAGUAACACGUGGGUAAUCUGCCCUCGGUUCUGGGAUAGCCCGGGGAAACCCGGAUUAAUACCGGAUAGCCUCUCGAGCUCUCGGGCUCGUGAGAAAAGGUAGCUUCGGCCUCCGAUCGAGGAGGAGCCCGCGGCGGAUUAGCUUGUUGGUGGGGUAACGGCCCACCAAGGCGACGAUCCGUAGCUGGUCUGAGAGGACGAUCAGCCACACUGGGACUGAGACACGGCCCAGACUCCUACGGGAGGCAGCAGUGGGGAAUCUUGCGCAAUGGGCGAAAGCCUGACGCAGCGACGCCGCGUGAGGGAAGAAGGCCU
RNAcentral lists this ribosomal RNA (394 nucleotides) under uncultured bacterium. RNAcentral describes it as "bacterial SSU rRNA". It matches the Rfam family "Bacterial small subunit ribosomal RNA", at positions 28 to 417 of the family's 1533-position model. The record is from RNAcentral.